UACGGAGGGUACGAGCGUUAAUCGGAAUGACUGGGCGUAAAGCGAGCGCAGGCGGUUCGAUCAGUCGGAUGUGAAAGCCCCGGGCUUAACCUGGGAAUUGCAUUCGAUACUGUCGAACUAGAGUAUGGGAGAGGGAAGUGGAAUUUCUAGUGUAGCGGUGAAAUGCGUAGAUAUUAGAAGGAACACCAGUGGCGAAGGCGGCUUCCUGGCCCAAUACUGACGCUCAGGCUCGAAAGCGUGGGGAGCAAACAGG
This 253-nucleotide ribosomal RNA is filed under the name uncultured bacterium. RNAcentral describes it as "partial 16S ribosomal RNA". It matches the Rfam family "Bacterial small subunit ribosomal RNA", at positions 524 to 776 of the family's 1533-position model. The record is from RNAcentral.